CUACUACUCCCUCCGUCCGAAAAUACUUGUCAUUGAAAUGGAUGUCUAGAUGUAUUUUAGUUCUAGACACAUCCAUGUUGAUGACAAGUAGUUCCAGACGGAGGGAGCAUUAU
Triticum aestivum (bread wheat) is the source of this 113-nucleotide non-coding RNA. Lineage: Eukaryota; Viridiplantae; Streptophyta; Magnoliopsida; Poales; Poaceae. The record is from Rfam.